Molecule: unclassified non-coding RNA, 192 nt
Filed under: soil metagenome
Description: partial contains 5.8S ribosomal RNA, internal transcribed spacer 2, and large subunit ribosomal RNA
Source: RNAcentral
AACUGAUACUACCUGCGGGAACCUGCGGAGGGAUCAUUAUCGGGUCCCCGCUCCAAGUAGCGGACCUCUCACCCUUGUUUUCGCUACGAUCGUUGCCCUGGCGGGUCGAUCCCGCCAGGGGUUCAAGUCUCGAUAUCUUACGGUCGUCGGAGCCUAUUUAGAAAACGCGAAAACUUUUAACAACGGAUCUCU